ACACAGAGGAACCAAACUUCGCAGGGAGACGAACUUCACUACCGUUUGCCUGGAGUGAAAAAACAAAACAAAACAAACAAUGAGUGAAGAGACCUUAGAAGUGUGAGCUGUUUGAGAAACUUGGGAGAGACGUGUUUGUGGUUUGUUGCUCAGCGAGGGAUUUGUUCCGGAAGCCCUGAUCUGCACCUCACCCGUCCAGACAAGAUGGAUAGAGGGGAGGAAAGCCAAACCUUGUAGUCUCAAAAGUGCUGUUAGAGGAGUUCUCUGAAAGCAACCCGGACAUAUAGAUGUUCUUUAUCAUUUCUGGUGGGUAAUUCAGGUACAAAAUCUGUUUUGAUUGUUAUGUUUUCCCCAUCUGCUGUCUUUUGCAUAAUUGUACAGUUUUAUUGUCAUUUUGCAGUAUAUUUUAUUUGUAAUAUCAGCUAUAACAUCUGUUGCACCUCAUCCGCCAAACCCUCUUCUAGUUACGAAUCGUGUUUGUUAG
Molecule: long non-coding RNA, 484 nt
Organism: Carassius auratus (goldfish)
Lineage: Eukaryota; Metazoa; Chordata; Actinopteri; Cypriniformes; Cyprinidae
Exons: 3
Source: RefSeq, a predicted model, not a curated record